GCACCGGUAGCUCAACUGGAUAGAGCAUCUGACUUCGGAUCAGAGGGUUGGGGGUUCGAAUCCCUCCCGGUGUA
This 74-nucleotide transfer RNA is filed under the name Pedosphaera sp. Its description in RNAcentral is "tRNA-Arg". It matches the Rfam family "tRNA". From Rfam's summary of the family: Transfer RNA (tRNA) molecules are approximately 80 nucleotides in length. Their secondary structure includes four short double-helical elements and three loops (D, anti-codon, and T loops). The record is from RNAcentral. RNAcentral also lists the same sequence under 2 other names. Lineage: Bacteria; Pseudomonadati; Verrucomicrobiota; Pedosphaerae; Pedosphaerales; Pedosphaeraceae.